GUGACGUAUCCCAAUGGCUGGCGUCAGUUUUAACAUGCCCAGACAUAAUCAGGGUAAGACAUUCUGGAAGCUGGACGUCCAAGAUCAAGAUAUCAGCAGGUUUGGUGUCGGUGAGAGCCCACUUUCUGGUUCAUAGAUGGCUGUCUUCUCGCUAUGAAGAACCAGGAUUUCUUUUUAUUUUUUUUUAAGUCCUGCCAUUUAGCUGAGAGAAGCAAUCUGCUUUCAAAUGAUUUACCUAAUCUGUAUUGUUAUUAGAAAUCAGUGAAAUGAUUUUUUCCUUUUUUAGAUGGACUCUUUACAUUUCUGCCUGCAUCCGCCCGUCAGCUUCCUCAUU
This 334-nucleotide long non-coding RNA is filed under the name Equus asinus (donkey). RNAcentral's name for it is "lncRNA (ENSEASG00005023727.1)". The record is from RNAcentral. Lineage: Eukaryota; Metazoa; Chordata; Mammalia; Perissodactyla; Equidae.